RNAcentral lists this ribosomal RNA (492 nucleotides) under uncultured bacterium. Its description in RNAcentral is "partial 16S ribosomal RNA". It matches the Rfam family "Bacterial small subunit ribosomal RNA", at positions 30 to 507 of the family's 1533-position model. The record is from RNAcentral.
AGUGAACGCUGGCGGCAGGCCUAACACAUGCAAGUCGAACGGAAGGACCGGAAGAUGUUGCUUUUACGGGUGGCGAGUGGCGGACGAGUAAGGGAUACAUCUGCCUCUAAUUUUUCGGGGAGGACAACGUAGUGAGGCUUAUACUAAUACCGAAUACCUCCUACGGGGUGGAGCAUGGGAACUUCGGGCCUUUGGCGAUUGACUGAGCCGGUGUCGGAUUGGCUAGUUGGCGGGGUAAUGGCCCAGCUAGGCGAGGAACCGGAGCUGGUCGGAGAGGCGGAUCAGCGACACUGGAAGUGAGACACGGUCCAGAGUCCUACGGGAGGCAGCAGUGGGGAAUAGUGGGCAAUGGGCGCAAGCCUGAUCCAGCCAUACCGAGUGUGAGAAGAAAGCCUUCGGGUCGUAAAGCCCUUUUGUGGGGAAAGAAAAGCAGUAGGCUAAGACCACGCGGGUGUGACGGUACCCAGAGAAGAAGCACCGGCUAACUUCGUG